CUACCGGGGUAUCUAAUCCUGUUUGCUCCCCACGCUUUCGAGCCUCAGCGUCAGUAAUGAGCCAGUGUGUCGCCUUCGCCACUGGUGUUCUUCCGAAUAUCUACGAAUUUCACCUCUACACUCGGAGUUCCACACACCUCUCUCAUACUCAAGACACCCAGUAUCAAAGGCAAUUCCGAGGUUGAGCCCCGGGAUUUCACCCCUGACUUAAAUGUCCGCCUACGCUCCCUUUACGCCCAGUAAUUCCGAGCAACGCUAGCCCCCUUCGUAUUACCGCGGCUGCUGGCAC
RNAcentral lists this ribosomal RNA (289 nucleotides) under uncultured Brevundimonas sp. RNAcentral's name for it is "partial 16S ribosomal RNA". Lineage: Bacteria; Pseudomonadati; Pseudomonadota; Alphaproteobacteria; Caulobacterales; Caulobacteraceae. The record is from RNAcentral.